AGAGGUAAGGUGCAGGAAUGAUGGGUAUAGAGAGGUAAGGUGCAGGAAUGAUGGGUAUAGAGAGGUAAGGUGCGGGAAUGAUGGGUAUAGAGAGGUAAGGUGCAGGAAUGAUGGGUAUAGAGAGGUAAGGUGCAGGAAUGAUGGGUAUAGAGAGGUAAGGUGCAGGAAUGAUGGGUAUAGAGAGGUAAGGUGCAGGAAUGAUGGGUAUAGAGAGGUAAGGUGCAGGAAUGAUGGGUAUAGAGAGAGGUAAGGUGCAGGAAUGAUGGGUAUAGAGAGGUGAGGUACAGGAAUGAUGGGUAUAGAGAGGUAAGGUGCAGGAAUGAUGGGAAUAGAGAGGUAAGGUGCAGGAAUGAUGGGUAUAGAGAGGUAAGGUGCAGGAAUGAUGGGUAUAGAGAGGUAAGGUGCAGGAAUGAUGGGUAUAGAGAGGUGAGGUGCAGGAAUGAUGGGUAUAGAGAGGUAAGGUGCAGGAAUGAUGGGUAUAGAGAGGUAAGGUGCAGGAAUGAUGGGUAUAGAGAGGUAAGGUGCAGGAAUGAUGGGUAUAGAGAGGUAAGGUGCAGGAAUGAUGGGUAUAGAGAGGUAAGGUGCAGGAAUGAUGGGUAUAGAGAGGUAAGGUGCAGGAAUGAUGGGUAUAGAGAGGUAAGGUGCAGGAAUGAUGGGUAUAGAGAGGUAAGGUGCAGGAAUGAUGGGUAUAGAGAGGUAAGGUGCAGGAAUGAUGGGUAUAGAGAGGUAAGGUGCAGGAAUGAUGGGUAUAGAGAGGUAAGGUGCGGGAAUGAUGGGUAUAGAGAGGUAAGGUGCAGGAAUGAUGGGUAUAGAGAGGUAAGGUGCAGGAAUGAUGGGUAUAUAGAGAAGUAACAUACAGGAAUGAUGGGUAUAGAGAGGUAAGGUGCAGGAAUGAUGGGUAUAGAGAGGUAAGGUGCAGGAAUGAUGGGUAUAGAGAGGUAAGGUGCAGGAAUGAUGGGUAUAGAGAGGUAAGGUGCAGGAAUGAUGGGUAUAUAGAGAAGUAACAUACAGGAAUGAUGGGUAUAGAGAGGUAAGGUGCAGGAAUGAUGGGUAUAGAGAGGCAAGGUACAGGAAUGAUGGGUAUAGAGAGGUAAGGUACAGGAAUGAUGGGUAUAGAGAGGUAAGGUGCAGGAAUGAUGGGUAUAGAGAGGUAAGGUGCAGGAAUGAUGGGUAUAGAGAGGUAAGGUGCAGGAAUGAUGGGUAUAGAGAGGUAAGGUGCAGGAAUGAUGGGUAUAGAGAGGUAAGGUGCAGGAAUGAUGGGUAUAGAGAGGUAAGGUGCAGGAAUGAUGGGUAUAGAGAGGUAAGGUGCAGGAAUGAUGGGUAUAGAGAGGUAAGGUGCAGGAAUGAUGGGUAUAGAGAGGUAAGGUGCAGGAAUGAUGGGUAUAGAGAGGUAAGGUGCAGGAAUGAUGGGUAUAGAGAGGUAAGGUGCAGGAAUGAUGGGUAUAGAGAGGUAAGGUGCGGGAAUGAUGGGUAUAGAGAGGUAAGGUGCAGGAAUGAUGGGUAUAGAGAGGUAAGGUGCAGGAAUGAUGGGUAUAUAGAGAAGUAACAUACAGGAAUGAUGGGUAUAGAGAGGUAAGGUGCAGGAAUGAUGGGUAUAGAGAGGUAAGGUGCAGGAAUGAUGGGUAUAGAGAGGUAAGGUGCAGGAAUGAUGGGUAUAGAGAGGUGAGGUGCAGGAAUGAUGGGUAUAGAGAGGUAAGGUGCAGGAAUGAUGGGUAUAGAGAGGUAAGGUGCGGGAAUGAUGGGUAUAGAGAGGUAAGGUGCAGGAAUGAUGGGUAUAGAGAGGUAAGGUGCAGGAAUGAUGGGUAUAGAGAGGUAAGGUACAGGAAUGAUGGGUAUAGAGAGGUAAUAUACAGGAAUGAUGGGUAUAGAGAGGUAAGGUGCAGGAAUGAUGGGUAUAGAGAGGUAAGGUGCAGGAAUGAUGGGUAUAGAGAGGUGAGGUGCAGGAAUGAUGGGUAUAGAGAGGUAAGGUGCAGGAAUGAUGGGUAUAGAGAGGUAAGGUGCAGGAAUGAUGGGUAUAGAGAGGUAAGGUGCAGGAAUGAUGGGUAUAGAGAGGUAAGGUGCAGGAAUGAUGGUUAUAGAGAGGUAAGGUGCAGGAAUGAUGGGUAUAGAGAGGUGAGGUGCAGGAAUGAUGGGUAUAGAGAGGUAAGGUGCAGGAAUGAUGGGUAUAGAGAGGUAAGGUGCAGGAAUGAUGGGUAUAGAGAGGUAAGGUGCAGGAAUGAUGGGUAUAGAGAGGUAAGGUGCAGGAAUGAUGGGUAUAGAGAGGUAAGGUACAGGAAUGAUGGGUAUAGAGAGGUAAUAUACAGGAAUGAUGGGUAUAGAGAGGUAAGGUGCAGGAAUGAUGGGUAUAGAGAGGUAAGGUGCAGGAAUGAUGGGUAUAGAGAGGUAAGGUGCAGGAAUGAUGGGUAUAGAGAGGUGAGGUGCAGGAAUGAUGGGUAUAGAGAGGUAAGGUGCAGGAAUGAUGGGUAUAGAGAGGUAAGGUGCAGGAAUGAUGGUUAUAGAGAGGUAAGGUGCAGGAAUGAUGGGUAUAGAGAGGUGAGGUGCAGGAAUGAUGGGUAUAGAGAGGUAAGGUGCAGGAAUGAUGGGUAUAGAGAGGUAAGGUGCAGGAAUGAUGGGUAUAGAGAGGUAAGGUGCAGGAAUGAUGGGUAUAGAGAGGUAAGGUGCAGGAAUGAUGGGUAUAGAGAGGUAAGGUACAGGAAUGAUGGGUAUAGAGAGGUAAUAUACAGGAAUGAUGGGUAUAGAGAGGUAAGGUGCAGGAAUGAUGGGUAUAGAGAGGUAAGGUGCAGGAAUGAUGGGUAUAGAGAGGUAAGGUGCAGGAAUGAUGGGUAUAGAGAGGUGAGGUGCAGGAAUGAUGGGUAUAGAGAGGUAAGGUGCAGGAAUGAUGGGUAUAGAGAGGUAAGGUGCAGGAAUGAUGGGUAUAGAGAGGUAAUAUACAGGAAUGAUGGGUAUAGAGAGGUGAGGUGCAGGAAUGAUGGGUAUAGAGAGGUAAGGUGCAGGAAUGAUGGGUAUAGAGAGGUAAGGUGCAGGAAUGAUGGGUAUAUAGAGAAGUAUCUCUGUCCCCAGUAUCCCCCCUCCCCAGAAUCUCCUUGCUCCACAUCUCCUCUCUUCGGGAUCUUCUCUCCCCAGUAUCUCCUCUCUUCAAGAUCCCCCCUUUUCAUGAUCUCCUCUCCCCAGCAUAUCCUCUUUCCAGUGUCUUUUCUCCCCAGUAUCUCCUCUCCCUAGUAUCUACUUUCCCUAAUAUCUCCACUCUUCAAGAUC
Molecule: long non-coding RNA, 3255 nt
Organism: Bufo bufo (common toad)
Lineage: Eukaryota; Metazoa; Chordata; Amphibia; Anura; Bufonidae
Exons: 5
Source: RefSeq, a predicted model, not a curated record